GACGGAGGAGGCCAGCGUUGUUCGGAAUUACUGGGCGUAAAGCGCACGCAGGCGGCGCUUCAAGUCGGAGGUGAAAUCCCGGGGCUCAACCCCGGAACUGCCUCCGAUACUGGAGUGCUUGAACGAGGGAGAGGAGAGCGGAAUUCCCAGUGUAGAGGUGAAAUUCGUAGAUAUUGGGAAGAACACCGGUGGCGAAGGCGGCUCUCUGGCCCUCUGUUGACGCUCAUGUGCGAAAGCGUGGGGAGCAAACAGG
This 253-nucleotide ribosomal RNA is filed under the name uncultured bacterium. RNAcentral's name for it is "partial 16S ribosomal RNA". It matches the Rfam family "Bacterial small subunit ribosomal RNA", at positions 524 to 776 of the family's 1533-position model. The record is from RNAcentral.